AGAGUUUGAUCCUGGCUCAGGAUGAACGCUAGCGGCAGGCCUAAUACAUGCAAGUCGAACGGAUGUAGUAAUACAUUAGUGGCGCACGGGUGCGUAACGCGUAUGCAACCUACCUGUUAGAGGGGGAUAGCCCGGGGAAACCCGGAUUAAUACCGCAUAAGCUAAUUGAAUGGCAUCAUUUAAUUAGGAAACAUUUAUGGCUAACAGAUGGGCAUGCGUAAGAUUAGUUAGUUGGUGAGGUAAAGGCUCACCAAGACAAUGAUCUUUAGGGGUUCUGAGAGGAAGAUCCCCCACACUGGUACUGAGACAGGGACCAGACUCCUACGGGAGGCAGCAGUAGGGAAUAUUGGGCAAUGGUGGCAACACUGACCCAGCCAUGCCGCGUGCAGGAAGAAGGCCUUCUGGGUUGUAAACUGCUUUUGGAAGGGAACAAAACGGUCGUGCGCGACAACUUGAGUGUACCUUCAGAAUAAGCACCGGCUAACUCCGUGCCAGCAGCCGCGGUAAUACGGAGGGUGCAAGCGUUGUCCGGAUUUAUUGGGUUUAAAGGGUGCGUAGGCGGCUUAUUAAGUCAGGGGUGAAAGACGAUUGCUCAACAAUCGCAGUGCCUUUGAUACUGAUGAGCUUGAAUAUAGAUGAGGCCGGCGGAAUGGGUGGUGUAGCGGUGAAAUGCAUAGAUACCAUCCAGAACACCGAUUGCGAAGGCAGCCGGCUAAACUACAACUGACGCUGAGGCACGAAAGCGUGGGGAUCGAACAGGAUUAGAUACCCUAGUAGUCC
RNAcentral lists this ribosomal RNA (780 nucleotides) under uncultured bacterium. RNAcentral's name for it is "bacterial SSU rRNA". It matches the Rfam family "Bacterial small subunit ribosomal RNA", at positions 8 to 796 of the family's 1533-position model. The record is from RNAcentral.